CCUACGGGAGGCAGCAGUGGGGAAUUUUGGACAAUGGGCGCAAGCCUGAUCCAGCAAUGCCGCGUGAGUGAAGAAGGCCUUCGGGUUGUAAAGCUCUUUUGUCAGGGAAGAAACGGCUGAGGCUAAUAUCCUCGGCUAAUGACGGUACCUGAAGAAUAAGCACCGGCUAACUACGUGCCAGCAGCCGCGGUAAUACGUAGGGUGCAAGCGUUAAUCGGAAUUACUGGGCGUAAAGCGUGCGCAGGCGGUUUUGUAAGUCUGUCGUGAAAGCCCCGGGCUUAACCUGGGAAUUGCGAUGGAGACUGCAAGGCUUGAAUCUGGCAGAGGGGGGUAGAAUUCCACGUGUAGCAGUGAAAUGCGUAGAGAUGUGGAGGAACACCGAUGGCGAAGGCAGCCCCCUGGGUCAAGAUUGACGCUCAUGCACGAAAGCGUGGGGAGCAAACAGGAUUAGAUACCCUGGUAGUCCACGCCCUAAACGAUGUCUACUAGUUGUCGGGUCUUAAUUGACUUGGUAACGCAGCUAACGCGUGAAGUAGACCGCCUGGGGAGUACGGUCGCAAGNUUAAAACGCGAAAGGAAUUGACGG
This 586-nucleotide ribosomal RNA is filed under the name uncultured bacterium. RNAcentral's name for it is "bacterial SSU rRNA". It matches the Rfam family "Bacterial small subunit ribosomal RNA", at positions 338 to 916 of the family's 1533-position model. The record is from RNAcentral.